This 253-nucleotide ribosomal RNA is filed under the name uncultured bacterium. Its description in RNAcentral is "partial 16S ribosomal RNA". It matches the Rfam family "Bacterial small subunit ribosomal RNA", at positions 524 to 776 of the family's 1533-position model. The record is from RNAcentral.
UACGGGGGGAGCAAGCGUUGUUCGGAUUUACUGGGCGUAAAGGGUGCGUAGGCGGCGCGGUAAGUCGGGUGUGAAAUCUCGGGGCUUAACUCCGAAACUGCAUUCGAUACUGCCGUGCUUGAGGACUGGAGAGGAGACUGGAAUUUACGGUGUAGCGGUGAAAUGCGUAGAUAUCGUAAGGAAGACCAGUGGCGAAGGCGGGUCUCUGGACAGUUCCUGACGCUGAGGCACGAAGGCCAGGGGAGCAAACGGG